GUCUGUACGCGCCCUCUCCAGGUCCUCUCGGCCCCACGCCCUUCUCCAUCUGGUCCUGGCUGCCUGAGCUUCCAGCCUCAGAAAAUCUCGGUUUCCUGUCCCAGGGCUUUCCCAGGACCGGAGAGGCAAAUGGCUUGACCCCUGACAAGCCCUGAGGGGCUGCCUAGGGUUGGCGGGCACACCCUGGCCAGAGUCCUUGUCUGAACACAGAAGUAGGGGGAGUGCCACCCAGCUAAGGAGAGCCGCAGGACUCAAUCUCAUGGGUAGGAGGGCCUGGCAUGUGGUUGCAUCGUUUACCACGCAGAGUAGGACGGCAGGCAGGGAUGGCCACUACUGUCCCACGGCCAGAACCUGAGGCAGAAGGAUGGCAGGAAGGGAGGGGACAGACCCGAUGCUGCUCACCUACCAGCUCACCCUUGACAGUCCAGUGCUCUUGGGAAUGGCUGAGAAUGGAGACGAAGGUGACUGCAGGAUUUGGGGGAGCCCUUGGAGCCUUCAGAGGCUGCUGGGAGAACACACUGCAGCUGAGUGUCCCCUGGAUGGCCUCACCUUGCAGCCAUCAACCCCUCCUGGCACUCUCGCUGGCUCCUGGCAGGCCUCAGCCCCGCAUUUCUGCGCAUGGCCAGGCCCAGCCCCCACCUGAAGUGGACCCUGGACGCUUUGUGAGGACCCUCUGACGCCAUCCAGCCCUCUGGAGCAAAGCCAGGAGCCCGGCCAGGAGCGGGCAGUUUGAGGGAGCUCAAAGGACUGUGGGGAAGGGCUCAGGGCAGGUGCUUCUGAGUGACUCCAGGGCGGAAUCAGGCCUGGGGCUGAGGAUCCUGGAGAGCCCGUCCCACACUGACGGCGUCCUCACCACUCAAGCUGCAAGAGACGGGAGGCAGGAUGCGGAAAGGGCGCCCCGUCACAGGGCUCUUCCCCUGGAGGCCUGUCUCUCAAAGCUACACCACACCGGCUUCUGCUCAGUAGACAGGGGGACUCCUACCCUGGGGAGUCCGCCCUGCUCCUCCAGAUUUAACGACUCCCAAAACGUCAUCUCUGCUGGGACAACUCCUGGGCUCUGUUCCAGCCAGCGGGAACCCAGGUCAUCUGACUCCCUUCCCAGGGCUCAUGCCUUUACCGCCUAGCGGGCCUGUGACUACACCAGAUGUGGCUGUGAGCCAGGCCCCGGAGAGGCUUGUGGAAGCCAGCUGCCAUGUCGUAAGCGCACUCAAGCAACCCCAUGGAGGAUUACAGGCGGCAAGGAACUGAGGCAUUUUGCCAACAGCCAGAACCAACUGGCCAGCAAUGCUGCAGUGCCUUCGAGCCUUUGUGUGAUCAUAAUUCCAUCGGACAUCCUGACUGCAACCUGAUGAGAGAACUUAAGCCAGAACUACCUGGCAAAGUCACUUGUGGAUUCCCAAUACACAGAAAGUCUGAGAUAGAUCAUUCAGGGACCGGGAUCCUUCCCCCCUGUGGCUCUGCCGACUCCAACAGGCGGUUUCGAAGGAGGCCUCAAACGAGAAAGAGAAAGGAAGGAUGAGGUAGGUGCAUCUGCUUCUUAACUAACUUGGGCUGGAAAAUACACAUCAUCCCUGAUCAACAUUCUAGUGGCAGGAACGAGUCAUCGACUCCUCGCAGAUGUCAGAGACCUAUGGGGAGGGGUCAUGUGGGGAAUUGUAGCCUCUGCUGGGAAGCCCCUCUAUUCUGUGGAAGGGCCAUACACUCUGCGUGUGCAUGUGUGAACAGUUAGCUCUCUCUACUACACACCCUUCACUUCCUUUGGCCACAGUAGUCUUGCAAGACUGCAACCCAGAUACGACAGGGCAACCUACCAUCCUUGGCUUCCACGUCCUAGAGAAAACCGCUAGGGGACAGGUCAGUGCCAGGGUGGAUUUCAGACCCCCAAAGCCACCAGGGCCCCUGUAUUUCUGGGCCUGGGUCAGAUUCUCUGCUUUUCCCAUAAAAGGUGUGGCAAACAUUCUCUCCCUAUCUUCAGCCCCCCCCCAUAAUCCCCCUCAUUCUCAGCAAGUGAGAAUUUUAGGCCCAAAGGGCAUCUUGCUCCCCGCUUCUUCCUGUUCUCUCUUCCAGGCCACACUCGUGUAAAUCUACCCAAGCCCGCAUUCUCUCCAGCUUCGCAUCCUGAACUGCCCCCAGGAUUUCAGACCUGUGUAUCCACCUGUGCCUGGAUGCUUCCGCCUGCAUGUGCACAGGCCCUUCACACUCAGCACGCCUCAAACUGAACUUGCCUUCAUCCGCCCGCCCCCCCAAAUUGGCUUCUCCCGUGGCGACAACCUAACCCCAAGCUUGUCCCUGCUGAAAACCUGAGGGUCAUCACGGUCUCGUUUCUCAGGUUAAAUACUGGCCAAGCCGUGUCUCGAAUCAGUUCCCGCCAUGCCCGUCCUCAGUUCAGGCCAUCACGUCCUGCUCAGACGCCCGCGGCUCCCUCCUAACAGGUCUUUGUGCCUCUAGUCUGUUCCCUCCAACCUGUCUCCACAGGCAGCCAGCGCGCCUGGCCUGCGGUCCCAGUGGGACCACGGCGCUCACUUUCUGAAGCGAGUAUGGGCUUCCCUCUGAGGCCCCCAAGUCCGCUCAUGACGGGCCCCACUACAGCAAGCCCCGGCUUCCCCUGACGUCCCAGCAACGCGAGGCUGUCCCGUGCACAUACUCUGAGGAUCCCUGCUGCCACCCUAGGGUCUGGGUGGGCGCCCCUCAUGCCACUAAAGAGGCCUUUAUUUUCCUCUUUCGGUGCCUGUCACACUCCUUGGUAAAGCUCUUCUUCUAAGUCUGCCUCCAAACACCACGAGAGCCGGGGUCAACUCUAUCUCACGCCCUCGGAGCCGAGGACCGCGCUCAGCACACACCAGGGACCCAAAACUUGUCCAGUGAGUGAAUGAAGAUGGCGGGAAGGACCGGGGGCAGGUGUGGAAAACCGUGAUCGAGAUGCACUUGCCUGACGCUCAGUGAACAUUCUUUCUCAGGACAGCCGAAGUGUGUGUGUGGGGGGGGUAUACAGGGUGUGUGUGCGUGUGCGUGUGUGUGAAAUCUGAUCCUUUGCUUGAGAGCCUCCCGUCAGUUAAUCUUGACAGGCCAUUUUGCACAAAACCUCUUCUCCAAAGCACUUUCUACAGCGGGGCUGAGCUCUCCGGUCCUGCCAAAGCUGUGGGCUCAGCUCCUACCACAUGACUGGCCUUGGCAGUAGCCUCAGACCCAUGCCUCCCACUUGACCUCCAUGGGGCCCUGGGAGACAAGCUAGAAAGAGCAUUGUUCCCCCCCCCAUUUUUUUGUCUUUUUUUGCUAUUUCUUGGGCUGCUCCUGUGGCAUAUGG
This is a non-coding RNA of Sus scrofa (pig), 3304 nucleotides long. The record is from RefSeq and is a predicted model, not a curated record. NCBI's taxonomy places the organism in Eukaryota, Metazoa, Chordata, Mammalia, Artiodactyla, Suidae.